RNAcentral lists this ribosomal RNA (427 nucleotides) under uncultured bacterium. RNAcentral describes it as "partial 16S ribosomal RNA". It matches the Rfam family "Bacterial small subunit ribosomal RNA", at positions 355 to 774 of the family's 1533-position model. The record is from RNAcentral.
UGGGGAAUAUUGCACAAUGGGCGCAAGCCUGAUGCAGCCAUGCCGCGUGUAUGAAGAAGGCCUUCGGGUUGUAAAGUACUUUCAGCGGGGAGGAAGGUGUUGUGGUUAAUAACCACAGCAAUUGACGUUACCCGCAGAAGAAGCACCGGCUAACUCCGUGCCAGCAGCCGCGGUCAUACGGAGGGUGCAAGCGUUAAUCGGAAUUACUGGGCGUAAAGCGCACGCAGGCGGUCUGUCAAGUCGGAUGUGAAAUCCCCGGGCUCAACCUGGGAACUGCAUCCGAAACUGGCAGGCUUGAGUCUUGUAGAGGGGGGUAGAAUUCCAGGUGUAGCGGUGAAAUGCGUAGAGAUCUGGAGGAAUACCGGUGGCGAAGGCGGCCCCCUGGACAAAGACUGACGCUCAGGUGCGAAAGCGUGGGGAGCAAACA